RNAcentral lists this ribosomal RNA (467 nucleotides) under uncultured bacterium. RNAcentral's name for it is "partial 16S ribosomal RNA". It matches the Rfam family "Bacterial small subunit ribosomal RNA", at positions 28 to 506 of the family's 1533-position model. The record is from RNAcentral.
GACGAACGCUGGCGGCGUGCUUAACACAUGCAAGUCGAACGGAAAGGCCCUGCUUUUGUGGGGUGCUCGAGUGGCGAACGGGUGAGUAACACGUGAGUAACCUGCCCUUGACUUUGGGAUAACUUCAGGAAACUGGGGCUAAUACCGGAUAGGAGCUCCUGCUGCAUGGUGGGGGUUGGAAAGUUUCGGCGGUUGGGGAUGGACUCGCGGCUUAUCAGCUUGUUGGUGGGGUAGUGGCUUACCAAGGCUUUGACGGGUAGCCGGCCUGAGAGGGUGACCGGCCACAUUGGGACUGAGAUACGGCCCAGACUCCUACGGGAGGCAGCAGUGGGGAAUAUUGCACAAUGGGCGGAAGCCUGAUGCAGCAACGCCGCGUGCGGGAUGACGGCCUUCGGGUUGUAAACCGCUUUCGCAUGUGACGAAGCGUGAGUGACGGUAAUGGGUAAAGAAACACCGGCUAACUACGU